RNAcentral lists this ribosomal RNA (497 nucleotides) under uncultured bacterium. RNAcentral's name for it is "partial 16S ribosomal RNA". It matches the Rfam family "Bacterial small subunit ribosomal RNA", at positions 28 to 507 of the family's 1533-position model. The record is from RNAcentral.
GAUGAACGCUGGCGGCGUGCCUAAUACAUGCCAGUCGAGCGAACAGACGAGGAGCUUGCUCCUCUGACGUUAGCGGCGGACGGGUGAGUAACACGUGGAUAACCUACCUAUAAGACUGGGAUAACUUCGGGAAACCGGAGCUAAUACCGGAUAACAUGUUGAACCGCAUGGUUCAACAGUGAAAGACGGUCUUGCUGUCACUUAUAGAUGGAUCCGCGCCGCAUUAGCUAGUUGGUAAGGUAACGGCUUACCAAGGCAACGAUGCGUAGCCGACCUGAGAGGGUGAUCGGCCACACUGGAACUGAGACACGGUCCAGACUCCUACGGGAGGCAGCAGUAGGGAAUCUUCCGCAAUGGGCGAAAUCCUGACGGAGCAACGCCGCGUGAGUGAAGAAGGUCUUCGGAUCGUAAAACUCUGUUAUUAGGGAAGAACAAAUGUGUAAGUAACUAUGCACGUCUUGACGGUACCUAAUCAGAAAGCCACGGCUAACUACGUG